This 21-nucleotide non-coding RNA is filed under the name Arabidopsis thaliana (thale cress). The record is from RNAcentral. Lineage: Eukaryota; Viridiplantae; Streptophyta; Magnoliopsida; Brassicales; Brassicaceae.
CUAUGUGUCUACUAUCUCUUA